CGGAGUUUGUGAUUGCCUAAGUAAACACUUGAAAAUCAGUCUCCCGACAAUGGAGUCCUCUGUUUUAUACGUUUUGGCAAUCAUUUACAUCAUCUGUCUGAAUGCAAAGUUGGUAUUCUCUUUGCACAAUCCCUUGAUGCGCACAUCUUGCCUAUUAGGGGAGGAGCUUGUCUGCCACGCCCGAUUCAUCAUCUGCUGGCAGUACAAGUGCAGGUGCAUUGAUAAACACGAUUAUCUCGGGCCCGGGCUGGGGUGCAUCUACCAUAUUUUUCAUUAAACAAAAUCCUGAAGAGUCCAUGGCCCGAAGAAUGUAGUGAGCUCCAAGCAGGAAAUGCAAGGGCUGGAAGCACUUCUUGCAGUGGCAUGCAUCUUUCGUACCGUCCAGAAAUUACGGGUGAAAUAAACCAUUAAUAACCAAGCGGCAGCUUUUUACAUGCUAAA
Long non-coding RNA from Drosophila pseudoobscura, 441 nucleotides. RefSeq lists it as uncharacterized. The record is from RefSeq and is a predicted model, not a curated record. The transcript has 2 exons. Lineage: Eukaryota; Metazoa; Arthropoda; Insecta; Diptera; Drosophilidae.